ACGGCGCCAGACCGUCCACCGAACCUAGCCCAAGGUCAGAAACCCGCGCGUUCUGAAUGCUUCCGCUCUACUUUUAAAGUCUGCACACUUUUGCAUGUUUGGCACCCUGUUCAAAUGAGGGGAGACGGACAGGAGACGACGGAGAGAAAUAUGAAAAAUGGAGCAGUGCCCGUAGAGUAGCUCAUGGGCAGAAUGAAACACAAUCUCCAAUUUCACACACUUGAAGCAUGGGAGAAGGAUGACCACCUGCCCUUAAGUCUGCUGUUGGCUAUUUGUCCCGGCCGCCUGACACCUUGUUUGGCUUCGUUGUCACGCCAUAGAUCAGCGGCGAGGUGGGGCCGCGUGAGGGGCAGGGCCUGCAAAUAGGACGGUAAUUUGGGAGUCGGCGAACGCGGGUCCUCCCCCCGUGAUGGAUCACGCGGCCUUGCAUACCUGUCGCCUUAAAUCAGCCCCCACCACCAGCAGGUCCGGUUUGUCGACCCAAAGUGACAGAUGUCAGGACCGACCGCGCAUCCACAAAAAGCAACGCGGUCGCCUCCUCCAGAAAGUUCAGUCCAUGGGUGAUUUAAUCAGUGGGCAUGUGACUUAAUCUGCUGCUUGUGCGUCUAUAGUAGAGUAGAGUAAGAAAAGUGUGUGUGUGUGUGUGUGUGUGUGUGUGUGUGUGUGUGUGUGUGUGUGUGUGUGUGUGUGUGUGUGUGUGUGUGUGAGCAGCGUCUGCACGCUCACUUUCCCUUCCCUCGUCUCAUUUUUCUGCUCAGACGGUGUCAGGUCUCUGUGGCUUUGUCAGCAAUUACAGCACUUAGUCGAACAUCUCGCGUCUGUGUGCAGCGCGUACACACGAUAUGAACCGCAUGUAUUUAUGUACGCUGGCCCACAGUCAGUCAGCCUAACGCUGGCUGGACCCGGCUGCAGUUCUAGAGUCCACUCUGGAACGGUUCUGAAACCAGACUCUGAUGAUUUCCAGAUGGAGCCUGGACUCCAAUGAGGAGGAACAUUCACUGUGAUUCAUUUGGGAAGCGCGUCUCUGAGGCCGCGUUUCGGAGCUCUGACAGACGCCUCACAAGUCUUUACACACUGUCAGGUCCUAAAAUAAACAGAAAAUCACCCGCUGGUGGGUCCAACGUGUCUUAAAGUGGCACAUUUCAACACGAACCUCCCCGAUGAUCAGUCUGGCUUCAACUGUGCGCUGUGAUGAGAGCAGAGCUGUGGUUCGCGCCGACGCUUGUAGUCGUUGGCUGAUGCCUGAAGUUUUGGUGGUUUAAAGGAAACGACGUGAAAGGAAGGGAAUCUCUGUCAGGACUCGUCAUCGCUGUGUGAGACAAAAAUGUGGUCGUGGAGGGUUUUGAAUUGUUCUUGCGUGAUCUGUAUCUAAAUGUUUUUGUGACAGAAACAAAUGUUGGGGAAAGAAAAUAUUCAAUUCUGUGGUUUUAUCAUCGCAAAUGAAUAGAAUUGUAAUUGUAGCACAAUAGCGUUUCGAACCAUUUACCUCAGUCUAUAGAUGAUAAAAUGGGGUGAAUGUUGCUUCUGCGUCGUGCUUUUCGGGGGCAGGUUUGAACAGACCCUCAGUUUGUGGCAGGAUGACGGGGAUUUGUUUUCUCAUCUUGCAAACAUCCUAAGGCAUUUUUUUAAAAACAGAAACACAUUUGAUUUUGAUGCUAAAAGGUCCAAAUCAUUCCUUUUUGCUUUAACUUACAGUAGUUUUCACACGUACUCCAACUGAGACACUGUUUGUUACUGUACAGCAUCCCUGGAUAACUGGUAUGAAGUGCUCUACAACAUAAGAUGCUGACGCUGUGCUGUCUCUCUGAUAAGUAAACUGAUGUACUGAAACCACAUUAAUAAAAUAUCCAAUUUUCUGAGCACGUGUUCGUCUUCAAGCAGACUCAGCAGGUGCUUUAACUGGGUGUUGCUGGUGUGUGAUGGCGUAAAGGCUAAAUACUGUACACAUAAGCUGAUAUUACUGUAAUCAUGCAUAGUUUAAGUGACUGGAUAAUUUAGGGAAUCUUGUUACAUACAGUACUGACUGUCAGAUUUAUUAUUAUCUAUUAGUAUUUGAGUAUUUAAUUGAGUUUGGUCAUUUUGAAACAUCAGCUUUUGGACGUGAGAUGGAAUGUAAACAUGUUUCCUUUGUAGCUGUUGUCAUGACGAUGAGUAAACUGCAGAGCAUUCAGCCGGGAAGCCACCUGAUUUGUAUUAGUGUGCAGGGAGACGCGCCGAUGAAAGGAGAAGCAGCGUCCGCCUGCUGGAAGGCGGUGCGCGUGAGCGUACAUGGCACGCACGCACACGUGCUCUCACGCUCCGCUGUGACUCAUCAUGCCCGUCUAACGCUGCUCAGCCUAACAGCACACAGUGAAGGCUGCCGCGCAGCUUGUUAUCCGGCCCAACAGGAGAAAAGACCCACACAUGCACCGCAUUUACAAUUUCGGAGGCAGUCCGGUUCUAUCAUCAUAUCGUCCUAUGUGGAAAAGUGAAUUUUUAAAUAUGUUCUUAUGCAAGUGAUUUA
Molecule: long non-coding RNA, 2503 nt
Organism: Betta splendens (Siamese fighting fish)
Lineage: Eukaryota; Metazoa; Chordata; Actinopteri; Anabantiformes; Osphronemidae
Exons: 2
Source: RefSeq, a predicted model, not a curated record